GAGCGACCCAGCCAGUCGGGUCCAUCCUGCAGUAAAUGCACAACCCGGACGGAAGUGCCUCUCCGACAGCAGAUCCAGGCUCGGAGCUCCAGACGCUGGGACAGGUGACCCGGGGCGGUAGCGAGCCGGACGGCCUUGCAGGCCGCCCGCAGACCACCCCCGCCGCGCGCGGGACACGACGCCCCCCGCAGGACCCGCCCAUCAGCCCGGAAAUCCCUGAGCUGCUUCUCCCGGAGGCCGAUGCCCACCCGGGAGCCCCCAAAGACUCGCGGCUCCCGGGGGCACCUGCAUACUCACCCGCCUGGGCCUGGGCCCCCGCUGCAGGGACUGGCGCCCCGAGGCCUCAAAACCAGCGCCCCCCGCCCUCCGUGCCAGCCCCAGCCGGGACCCCACAAGGCAAAGACCAAGAAGAUUGUGUUUGAGGAUGAGUUGCUCUCCCAGGCCCUCCUGGGCGCCAAGAAGCCUAUUGGAGCCGUCCCUAAGGGGCAUAAGCCUAGGCCCCACCCAGUGCCCGACUAUGAGCU
RNAcentral lists this small RNA (524 nucleotides) under Pan troglodytes (chimpanzee). RNAcentral's name for it is "processed transcript". Lineage: Eukaryota; Metazoa; Chordata; Mammalia; Primates; Hominidae. The record is from RNAcentral.